GAAAUGCGAUAAGUAAUGUGAAUUGCAGAAUUCAGUGAAUCAUCGAAUCUUUGAAUGCACCUUGCGCUCCUUGGUAUUCCUUGGAGCAUGCCUGUUUGAGUAUCAUGAAAUCUUCAAAGUAAAUCUUUUGUUAACUCAAUUGGUUUCUACUUUGGUAUUGGAGGUCUUUGCAGCUUCACACCUGCUCCUCUUUGUUCAUUAGCUGGAUCUCAGUGUUAUGCUUGGUUCCACUCGGCGUGAUAAGUUAUCUAUCGCUGAGGACACUGUAAAAGGUGGCCAAGGUAAAUGCAGAUGAACCGCUUCUAAUAGUCCAUUGACUUGGACAAUACUUUUAUGACCUGAUCUCAAAUCAGGUAGGACUACCCGCUGAACUUAAGC
This 378-nucleotide unclassified non-coding RNA is filed under the name plant metagenome. Its description in RNAcentral is "partial contains 5.8S ribosomal RNA, internal transcribed spacer 2, and large subunit ribosomal RNA". The stretch from base 1 to 105 matches the Rfam family "5.8S ribosomal RNA", at positions 50 to 154 of the family's 154-position model. The record is from RNAcentral.